UACGUAGGGAGCAAGCGUUGUCCGGAAUCAUUGGGCGUAAAGCGCGCGUAGGUGGCCUCGUAAGUCCGCUGUGAAAGUCAAAGGCUCAACCUUUGAAAGCCGGUGGAUACUGUGAGGCUAGAGUACGGAAGAGGCGAGUGGAAUUCCUGGUGUAGCGGUGGAAUGCGCAGAUAUCAGGAGGAACACCAAUAGCGAAGGCAGCUCGCUGGGACGUAACUGACACUGAGGCGCGAAAGCUAGGGGAGCAAACGGG
RNAcentral lists this ribosomal RNA (253 nucleotides) under uncultured bacterium. Its description in RNAcentral is "partial 16S ribosomal RNA". It matches the Rfam family "Bacterial small subunit ribosomal RNA", at positions 524 to 776 of the family's 1533-position model. The record is from RNAcentral.